GAUGCCUUUGAUGACAUGAUGGUUUCAGAACUGGCACACAUCGUUGUUGCCAGAGCUAUGUUGAUAUUGCUCAUGAACUAGGACGGUCUGAGGCCUU
This 97-nucleotide small nucleolar RNA is filed under the name Oryza sativa (Asian cultivated rice). Its description in RNAcentral is "Z160b small nucleolar RNA". It matches the Rfam family "Small nucleolar RNA snoR20a". Rfam says of the family: The O.sativum sequence was obtained from the plant snoRNA database. Lineage: Eukaryota; Viridiplantae; Streptophyta; Magnoliopsida; Poales; Poaceae. The record is from RNAcentral.